This 109-nucleotide ribosomal RNA is filed under the name Staphylococcus pseudintermedius. RNAcentral describes it as "partial 16S ribosomal RNA". It matches the Rfam family "Bacterial small subunit ribosomal RNA", at positions 1433 to 1533 of the family's 1533-position model. Lineage: Bacteria; Bacillati; Bacillota; Bacilli; Caryophanales; Staphylococcaceae. The record is from RNAcentral.
GAGUAACCAUUUUGGAGCUAGCCGUCGAAGGUGGGACAAAUGAUUGGGGUGAAGUCGUAACAAGGUAGCCGUAUCGGAAGGUGCGGCUGGAUCACCUCCUUUCUAAGGA